GGGCGUAUAGCUCAGUCUGGUUAGAGCACUGCCCUUACAAGGCAGGUGCCGGGGGUUCGAGUCCCUCUACGCCCA
Molecule: transfer RNA, 75 nt
Filed under: Actinomycetota bacterium
Lineage: Bacteria; Bacillati; Actinomycetota
Description: tRNA-Val
Rfam family: tRNA
About the family: Transfer RNA (tRNA) molecules are approximately 80 nucleotides in length. Their secondary structure includes four short double-helical elements and three loops (D, anti-codon, and T loops).
Source: RNAcentral